CUUGGAUCCGUUGGCUUUGUUGUAUUUUGGGUAUUGGCUGUUUUUCCUGCUGUACCUUUCAUGCCUAUUGGAAGGACUGCAGGUUCUCUCCUUGGAGCUAUGCUUAUGGUUGUUUUUGGAGUCAUAACUCCGGAUCAAGCAUAUGCUGCUAUUGAUCUUCCAAUUUUAGGCCUUCUUUUCGGGACUAUGGUGGUUAGUGUUUAUCUAGAAAGAGCAGAUAUGUUUAAAUACUUGGGUAAAUUGUUGGCUUGGAAGAGUCAAGGAGCUAAGGAUUUGCUCUGUAGAAUCUGCUUGAUCUCAGCUGUUUCGAGUGCUUUUUUUACGAAUGAUACGUCUUGUGUUGUAUUAACCGAGUUUGUAUUGAAAAUAGCUAGGCAACAGAAUCUACCACCACAUCCGUUUCUGUUAGCUCUUGCUUCCAGUGCGAACAUUGGAUCUUCAGUAACUCCAAUUGGGAAUCCACAGAACUUAGUUAUAGCAGUACAAAGCAAGAUAUCUUUUGGCAAGUUUUUAUUUGGUAUUUUUCCUGCAAUGCUUGUUGGCGUAACUGUUAAUGCUCUGCUUCUGCUUUGUAUGUAUUGGAAGUUGUUGUCUGUACAAAAGGAUGUAGAGG
RNAcentral lists this unclassified non-coding RNA (613 nucleotides) under Hevea brasiliensis (rubber tree). The record is from RNAcentral. Lineage: Eukaryota; Viridiplantae; Streptophyta; Magnoliopsida; Malpighiales; Euphorbiaceae.